UCAGAAAAAGCCAAACCUAUCGUAAGAUAGGGGCAGAAAGCUGCGGGUCCGCGACAGCGGAUAGCCGGGUUGCCUGAA
Molecule: non-coding RNA, 78 nt
Filed under: Candidatus Moduliflexus flocculans
Lineage: Bacteria; Candidatus Moduliflexota; Candidatus Moduliflexia; Candidatus Moduliflexales; Candidatus Moduliflexaceae
Description: Bacterium UASB14 c-di-GMP sequence
Rfam family: c-di-GMP-I-GGC riboswitch aptamer
Source: Rfam by way of RNAcentral